UGGUCAUAUACCAAGGCUUUCAGGAUCCGGUGUUCCUGACUUGCUGUGGACUUGACCAGAAAUCAAAAACCACCCCAGUGAGCCUCUGCAGCAGCGUUUGUAGAGGACUCACUGGGGACAUGA
Xiphophorus couchianus (Monterrey platyfish) is the source of this 123-nucleotide small nucleolar RNA. The record is from Ensembl. NCBI's taxonomy places the organism in Eukaryota, Metazoa, Chordata, Actinopteri, Cyprinodontiformes, Poeciliidae.